Molecule: ribosomal RNA, 459 nt
Filed under: uncultured Treponema sp.
Lineage: Bacteria; Pseudomonadati; Spirochaetota; Spirochaetia; Treponematales; Treponemataceae
Description: partial 16S ribosomal RNA
Rfam family: Bacterial small subunit ribosomal RNA
Source: RNAcentral
ACGGAAGGCAGCAGCUAAGAAUAUUCCGCAAUGGACGAAAGUCUGACGGAGCGACGCCGCGUGGAUGAUGAAGGUCGGAAGGUUGUAAAGUCCUUUAGCAAGUGAGGAAUAAGCGGGAUAGGGAAUGAUCUCGUGGUGACUGUAGCUUGAGAAUAAGGGUCGGCUAAUUACGUGCCAGCAGCCGCGGUAACACGUAAGACCCUAGCGUUAUUCGGAAUUAUUGGGCGUAAAGGGCACGCAGGCGGUUUGGUAAGUCAGAAGUGAAAUACCGGAGCUUAACUCCGGUGCUGCUUUUGAUACUGCUGAACUUGAAUCAGUGAGGGGUGACCGGAAUUCCUAGUGUAGGGGUGAAAUCUGCAGAUAUUAGGAAGAACACCGGUGGCGAAGGCAGGUCACCAGCACAUGAUUGACGCUCAGGUGCGAAGGUGCGGGGAGCAAACAGGAUUAGAUACCCUGGUA